This 76-nucleotide transfer RNA is filed under the name Clostridia bacterium. Its description in RNAcentral is "tRNA-Pro". It matches the Rfam family "tRNA". From Rfam's summary of the family: Transfer RNA (tRNA) molecules are approximately 80 nucleotides in length. Their secondary structure includes four short double-helical elements and three loops (D, anti-codon, and T loops). Further hydrogen bonds mediate the characteristic L-shaped molecular structure. tRNAs have two regions of fundamental functional importance: the anti-codon, which is responsible for specific mRNA codon recognition, and the 3' end, to which the tRNAs corresponding amino acid is attached (by aminoacyl-tRNA synthetases). tRNAs cope with the degeneracy of the genetic code in two manners: having more than one tRNA (with a specific anti-codon) for a particular amino acid; and 'wobble' base-pairing, i.e. permitting non-standard base-pairing at the 3rd anti-codon position. The record is from RNAcentral. RNAcentral also lists the same sequence under 1 other name. Lineage: Bacteria; Bacillati; Bacillota; Clostridia.
CGAGGUGUAGCGCAGAUGGUAGCGCGCCUGCUUUGGGAGCAGGAUGCCGCAGGUUCGAAUCCUGUCACCUCGACCA